CCCAGCACAAGGUGCGCCUGUGUAAUGAUCAUGCUGCUUAAUCAGCUUCUUGAUAUGCCACAACUGUCUGGUGGAUCAAUUAUCUUGUUAAAUAGGAAAUAUUCACUAACAGGAUGUAAACAAAUUUGUGCUCAAACUUUUAGAGAAAUAAGCAUUUUGUGCAUGUGAAACAUUAAUGGGAUCUUUUAUUUCAGCUCAUGAAACAUGGGUACAACACUUUACAUGUUGCGUUUUAUAAUUUUGUUUAGGUUAUAUGACUUGGGUAUCAUGCAAUGACUCAAUCAUGGGACUGCGAAGUGCACACGUAAGCGACUCAACUUUCGGGAAGCUGCACAGGAUAUCUGCCCUUCAGCACAGAUCAUAGUGGAUAGACGUGUGUCAGCGAGUUCUGAAUGACUGCUGGUUCCUGUCUGCGGUGGCGUCCCUCUCCAUGCAUCGCCCGCUGAGAGUUACAAUGGCAGCUUUUACUUCCAGGGCCCCCUUGAGCAAUGAAAUGAGUUUGGAAUCCUGUCCAGUCAUGCCUACUCUGUAACCAGGAUUGAACAAGUUGGGCGACUCUGUCUCCCCCCACUCCUCCACUCCCUCAGGACGGCGGUGUCAGACUUCUGUCGGAACUUGGACGCAAUGGAGGUGUUUCACCUGAGUGAGGAGACCCUGAGCGAGCCAGGUGCCACACAGAGACCAUGGAACUGCACAGAGUUCUGACGGAAGUCUGACACCACCAUCCUGAGGGGGAGAGAAGGAGGGGGAGA
Molecule: long non-coding RNA, 752 nt
Organism: Oncorhynchus tshawytscha (Chinook salmon)
Lineage: Eukaryota; Metazoa; Chordata; Actinopteri; Salmoniformes; Salmonidae
Exons: 6
Source: RefSeq, a predicted model, not a curated record